This 6418-nucleotide long non-coding RNA is filed under the name Sus scrofa (pig). RNAcentral's name for it is "lncRNA (ENSSSCG00000042005.1)". Lineage: Eukaryota; Metazoa; Chordata; Mammalia; Artiodactyla; Suidae. The record is from RNAcentral.
GUCUUUUUUUUUGUUGUUGUUGUUGUUGUUGUUGCUAUUUGUUGGGCCGCUCCCGCGGCAUAUGGAGGUUCCCAAGCUAGGGGAUGAAUCGGAGCUGUAGCCACCGGCCUACACCAGAGCCACAGCAACUUGGGAUCCGAGCCGUGUCUGCAACCUACACCACAGCUCACGGCAACACCGGAUCGUUAACCCACUGAGCAAGGGCAGGGACCGAACCCGCAACCUCAUGGUUCCUAGUCGGAUUCGUUAACCACUGCGCCACGACGGGAACUCCAGCUUUGACAUUUCUGACACAAGUAAUACUAUCCUGGAGGCAUAUUGGGUGCUUACAUUAAUUAUGUAAUAACAUUUUUAUUCUUGUUAGGGAAAUCCAGUAACAGAAAUAUUAUUCUGUUUAUUCUCACAAUUUCUUUGGCAGUGAAAAAAAAAUCAAGAAAAGAAACGUUUCUUGUUUGAUCUCCCCAGAUAGGUCUGUGAAAAUCCCAGUAGGAAUGUAAGCCGAGCAAUUGCUUCCCAGAUUGGCUCCAGAAUCAAGACCUGGUUGGGUGGGCUUGUUAUUAGAGUAACCAGAAACAGAAACCACAAAGCACCACAAUCACAGCCAGAGUUUAUGAAGCAUCUAAUAGCAUUCGAUAUUUUAUUAAACAGUCUGCUAAAUACUUUGUGAUUAUUAUUUCAUGCAGUUCCCCCAAACCUAUGAGUUAGGUAUUCUAUUCCCAUUUUACUGAUGAGGAAAUAGAGGCUCAGAAGCUGUAUACGACUUGUGCAAGAGAAUAGCAAGUAGCAGAGUUGGGAUUUGAACUUGCAUCUGUCUGACUCCAAAUCCCAUGACUUACCCUUCAAACUCAGUGAAAAUAGACUUGUUUUGUGAAUAUUAACUGGUUUGGGGGGUCUCAUGUUCAUUUCUUCUGGCAAUACCACUCCCUUCUUUGGGGAGAAAUUCCCUUCUUCUCCCCACUGUGCUCUAUCAUGAAGAAGAAAUGGUUGCUGUCAUCUCUCAACAUGACAAUACCUCCUUACCCAUAAUGUUGGGGCAAGGGAAAGAUAUCUGCCCAAGCUGAGCCAACAAUACUUGAUUUCUCAGGUCUUAACCCGAGUUGGUCCAAAUAGAAUUCUCCCCCAAGAGUCAAGAAAUUAAACCUAUGAGGGAGGAGGCUUUCCCUGUUUCCUGUUAGGUACUGUAAGAAUGUAAGCCUGAAGCCAUGUAUGUCCUUCACCUCCUGGAAGAAGCCUGUGUGCAUGAGAGAAAGAGACUGACAUGGAGAGACAGGGAGGAGGAGCCAGCCCCAUUGCUUAUAAACCCUACUCCAUUUCUCCCUUGCUCCUUCUGACCUUCCCAUGGUUAGAGGAACCAACACCUUCCCCAUUUUGCCUAGGCAAGUUCGGGUUGGCUCUCUGUCACUUGUAGAGGAGCCAUAAGUGAUUCAGCCCACCCCAGGAAGGGCUGAAGCUCAAAAAUCAAUAAAAUUAAGGCCUGUUAGCAUAAUGAAGAAGCAAAUGAAGUGCUGGAAGCAAGAGACAAAGCCAAGAGGUGGCAAGUCAGACAGUACCAAGAAUGGAUUGGGGGUAAGAGACAAUGGAAUUAAAGACCAUUUAUCCAGGAUGGGCUCUGUGAGACUCCAAACUUUUCUUUUUAAAGAUCAUUAGCAAAAAAUGAGGGUCAGUAGUUCAGCCUAGUUAAAAGACAUCAAUGGAGUAAGAGCAAUAAUCAGAAUCUCGUAAGAUAAAAUUAUUCCUUUUAAGAAUUAAAAACAAAUAAAGCCAUCCCCAUUGUAAAAGAAUGUAUGUUCAAUUUAAUAAUCAUUACAAGGAGUUCCCAUCAUGGCACAGUGGUUAACGAAUCCGACUAGGAACCAUGAGGUUGCGGGUUUGAUCGCUGCUCAGUGGGUUAACGAUCCGGCGUUGCCGUGAGCUGUGGUGUAGGUCGCAGACGCGGCUCGGAUUCUGCGUUGCUGUGGCUCUGGCAUAGGCUGGCAGCUACAGCUCCGAUUAGACCCCUAGCCUGGGAAACUCCAUAUGCCACGGGAGCGGCCCAAGAAAUGGCAAAAAGACAAAAAAAAAAAAAAAAAAAAAAAAUUACAAACUAAAUAAAUCACAUGCUAGACCCAACGAAGGAAUCAAAAGGAAAUCAAAGACAUAUGUAAUAUAUCAUAUUGGCCAAGAAACUAGAGCUAUAUAGAAUUUACUCAUGGAAGAAAAGGAACCUUGUCUCUUGGUAGACUUAAUUUUACCAGGAUGAUGUGUUGAGGUUUAGAUUAGGUAAGAAUCAGUCAUUGACAAUGGAUCAGAGAGGAAUAUCCACCACUAAUAAGGUGGGUGCAAAAAAACAAGCUUUUUCAUUUCAAAAAUAUAAUCAUGUGAGCUUAGUUUCCUAACUGGGUUUACCUAGGGAUCAGUGUCACGGAGCAAGCUCUAAAAUGUAAGUAAUUCAUUGGUUCCCCUAGUGAUUUUCAAAGCUACCAAGGACUUUAGUGGCCUGACCUCUGGGGAAAAAGGGGUGAAGGCUUGGAUUGAAGCUUUAUUUAGCAAAUCCUUUCCAUUCAAAACCCAUAAGCUUCUUGUCCCUGUCAGCAAGUGUCCAGAAGAUGCCUUGUCAACAGAUUCCCUUCAAGGGGAGCAUUGCUGGGGCUGUCAGAAGUGGAGGGAGACUUGGGAGCUUCAGCUACAGUCUGGACUGUCACGUCAAUUGAAAACUGCUUUGAUUUUCCUGCUGGAAGUAAAUCACAUGCCUCUGACUUACUCUCUGUUUUGUGAUGUGCCUGUAUCUGUAUGUGGUGUAUGGGCUUUGUACAUGGGCGUGAACAUAUAUAAGUGUGUUUAUCAAUUGAAACUGGGCAGUGUUUUCACAGAGCGCAAAGUUCAGUAACAAUUGUCGGGUCUCCGAUUGCUUCUUGUGGGUAUCGUGAUGAUUUGUACACAAGAAGAGCAGGAUCCAGUUCAGCUCAUUGCAGAAUCUGCCACCAGUACAGCAUCAAGCAGUAUGAACAAAACUUUGAGGGCUGCUAAUUUAAGUCGAUCACUGUGUGCCCAAAGUAGAAUGUUAGUCAGUCAAUGUUUUUUGUGGAAGGCUUUAAAAUUAGGACAUGAUUUAGGAUUUACACACGCAAAAGAGAUGCUUACUUCAACUGCUCUUUAAUGUCUCUUUAAGAAAAUUAUUGUUUCUUCAUUUAGUCACUUCAUUGGAAAUAGGCCACGGUGAAAUGUUUCUACCAUAAAAAGGACAAAUUACUGUAAGUUCUCUAAGUCUUAUCACUUAUACAAUUGACAAUUAAGCCAAAUUAUUACACCCAUAAAAUAGAAUAAGAGAAUGUUCUUGCUGACUAAAUCAUUUCAGUUUCAGGGUUGCUUGGUAAAUAGUGAUAGGAAUAUAAAUUCUAUGAAGUGAGAAACUUUACACUCCUAAUUUGGAUUUGAGAUGAGAAGCAUAUUUGCUUUGUGAUCCAAAGUAAUACACUGGUUGUUAAUUUCAAUACGGAAUUAGGGGGUUAUAAUUUGGUGUGUUAAUAUCAUGGGUGGUAAACUUUGCCCUAGCUCUAGCUCUGAUCCCUAAAAACCCUGGGUUUAUUUGCGUUCCCAUUUUCAGACCAUGCCUUUUCCCGUCCCUUUGAAGCAGCAUUGUUGAUACAUUCUAUCAGUAGCUUCAACUGUACCUCUUAGGAAUAUCCUCUGACCAAAGCUGGAAAGAAUGUUAGUAAUUGCAUUUAUUCCUCCCAGCAAGGUGAAGUCUAGAAUCAUUUGUGUUUGCAGCGUGGUGCCAGGGUGCUGAGGGUGAGUUCUGGAUGCCUGAGUGCCUGCCACCAGUUAAUUCCCAUCCACAUUCCUGAUCUCCCCUUAGUUCUCCUCCAUGCUUCUUCACAGGACCUGCUAAUCGGGUGCUCUGGCACCAUUUCUGGUUUUGCCAAGCAGUCUCUCUGGUAUCCAUCUUCAACAAGCAAUCUUACUUCACUGGACGUACUGCCACAGAGGCCAGGAGUACCAAUGUAAAACAGGAAUGGAGGAUUCCUCAUUGUAUCCUGUCUGAGUUUGUUCAAGAGAAUUGAGACCUUGCAAGUGUGGAUAGUAUAAUCGAUCUUUAAUAAUGAGAAAAAGCCUUUCACAAAAAUGGUAAGAGAUAUAGGAGUAUCAAUCUGGAUGGCUGAAGCUAGAGAAUCAAGAAACAUUCACAAUUUCAGACCGAAAAGGAAUAAUGAAAGGAGCAUACCAUUUUUGGGGGUUAUUUUCAAACCGCUGUGACUGAUAGGUGAGAGCUUGUAAAAAGUCUGGAAAUCUACCACAAGGAAUUAUAAUGACUUUCCAAAAAUUCAUUUGCUGCACUUUACCUUCCAACUCUCAAGGAAGUUGUUCUCGUUGGAAAACUCUAAUCCAGAACCAUGUAGGGAAAGGAAUUUUAGGAAGCACACUUUCCAGGCACAAAAGGGGAUUUUGAAGGUACUACAAAAUUUGUAACUAAGUUACACUCGCCCCUUUCAAAUCCUGUAGUGUAAAUGCUGAAGUAGACAGGUAAUCAUUGUUAAAAUAUCUAAUGUUAGAUAAUUCAACAAAGAGGAGAAAAGAAUAACUCAUUCGUAUAUGUAAAUAUAAACCAAUCAAAGCAGUAAGGAAAAUGAGUAUAAUCACUACAGAUACUGUUUUUCUACAAGUGAUGAUUUGGCCAUGAUUGGUAUUUAUAUUUUUCUUAUUCCACUAAAAUUUCCUCAAGUCUCUUUGUCUUCAGUAAGUGGUCCAGUUGGUUGUGGUUCUUUGUCUAGUGGGGAUACUCCAAUCCUCUUGAAGGAACUCUGUCAUUAGCAGUCUUGUCUGUAUUGUGUUUCCAUAGUUUCCCAUUAUCUUUAGCCAGAGGACCUAAGAGUAUUAAGACCCACCCUGUAGAAUAUUCUGGAUUAUAGUCAUGUCCUCUUUACUUCCUUUUUUUGUCUUUUUCUGCCAUUUCUUGGGCCGCUCCCACGGCAUAUGGAGUUUCCCAGGCUAGGGGUCGAAUUGGAGCUGUAGCCACCAGCCUACGCUAGAGCCACAGCAACGAUGGAUCCAAGCUGUGUCUGCAACCUAUACCACAGCUCACAGCAACGCUGGAUCCUUAACCCACUGAGCCAUGCCAGGGACCGAACCCUCAACCUCAUGGUUCGUAGUUGGAUUUGUUAACCACUGAGCCAUGACGAGCCCAUUUUUUCAUCAGAACUAUUGUGUGUGCCCUGAUUCUAGGAAUUGAGAUCUUAAAGCAGCAGGCCCAAGCUGUCAUAAUGGGAAUAGAAAAUUUUGCUAGUGGAUUGUUAGGGGUAAUAAUGAGAGAAUCCAGUUCCAUUUCCACCAUGUAUAUCCUAAAUCCAUACAUCCUGGCUAUGGGUGAAUCAGCAUAUUCUGAUCGCUGAUUCAAAGCCUAUACAGUAUCCUGAGGACAUUUCCCCAGCCUGGCAGUUUGCCAAGCCCCUAAAGCCCUCCAUCUAUGACCUACAGAGGGUUAUAUUGUGUCUCUGAUCAUUAAAAGUCUCCUCUGUUGUGGUAGCCUUUUCAGGAACACUUACACAGGACACAAAAAUCCUCAUGUUUUGUGCCAAUUUGGAGAAUUACAUCACUAAUUUUAUCUCUUCUCCAGAUUUCCUUGUCCACCAUUUCCCAAUUUUGUGUCUUCUACCUCCAUGAGCAUAUAGCUAAACUGUCCGUCACUGUGCACGAAACAGUAUAGAUCCAUAUUUCUGCCUACAUUUCCUUCCAAGAAAAAUGAACAAAAAAAAUGAGCAAAAAAUGAACAGGGUGCAUUGCUCAAAGUUCUUUGUGCUGGGGAGGAUUUCUCUUCUUUUCCAUUUUCUUAGGAUCACAUUGAGUGGUGCCACGGUGUUGUAGCUGCCCACUUUCAUUUGUUACUGGGGUAUGAUGCAGAGUCCUUUGUAACCAAGCUUUGUUUUGGACAAUGAGUUAAUCGUAGGGGACUCAUCAUGAAGCUAGAGGUGCUGACUGAGGAAAAGAAUCUGGCAACAUGAAUAGGAAUGACAGGAAUAUGAGUAAUUUGUCUGGGCAAAUUGUCUGUGCCUCUGAGAGCUGCUUGGGCCCUAUUUUGUACAUGUCACUUCUAUUUGAUGAUGAAGUACUGUUGUGCACAUACAAAUUUAUAACCUGGUGAGCCAGACAGCACACAUGCCAAGCAAAAAGCUUGACAUUUUGGCAUUCCCGAAGUGGCAAAGCAGAAAUGAAUCCCACUAGGAACCAUGAGGUUGCAGGAUCAAUCCCUGGCCUUGCUCAGUGGUUUAAGGACCCAGCAUUGCCAUGAGCUGUGGUAUAGGUCACAGAUACGGCUCAGAUCCAUCGUUGCUGUGGCUGUGGUGUAGGCUGACGGCUACAGCUCCAAUUCGACCCCUAGCCUGGGAACCUCCAUAUGCCACAGCUGCCGUCCCAAGAAGCAAAAAAAAAAAAAAAAAAAAAAAAA